Molecule: ribosomal RNA, 433 nt
Filed under: uncultured bacterium
Lineage: Bacteria
Description: partial 16S ribosomal RNA
Rfam family: Bacterial small subunit ribosomal RNA
Source: RNAcentral
AACGAACGCUGGCGGCAUGCCUAACACAUGCAAGUCGAACGAGACCUUCGGGUCUAGUGGCGCACGGGUGCGUAACGCGUGGGAACCUGCCCUUAGGUUCGGAAUAACUCCCCGAAAGGGGUGCUAAUACCGGAUAAUGUCUUCGGACCAAAGAUUUAUCGCCUUUGGAUGGGCCCGCAUUGGAUUAGCUAGUUGGUAGGGUAAAAGCCUACCAAGGCGACGAUCCAUAGCUGGUCUGAGAGGAUGAUCAGCCACACUGGGACUGAGACACGGCCCAGACUCCUACGGGAGGCAGCAGUGGGGAAUAUUGGACAAUGGGCGAAAGCCUGAUCCAGCAAUGCCGCGUGAGUGAUGAAGGCCUUAGGGUUGUAAAGCUCUUUUACCCGGGAUGAUAAUGACAGUACCGGGAGAAUAAGCACCGGCUAACUCCGUG